RNAcentral lists this ribosomal RNA (519 nucleotides) under uncultured bacterium. RNAcentral describes it as "bacterial SSU rRNA". It matches the Rfam family "Bacterial small subunit ribosomal RNA", at positions 8 to 518 of the family's 1533-position model. The record is from RNAcentral.
AGAGUUUGAUUAUGGCUCAGAACGAACGCUGGCGGCGCGUUUAAGCAUGCAAGUCGAGCGGCAAGGGCCUUCGGGCCCCUAGAGCGGCGGACGGGUGAGUAACACGUGGACAAUCUGCCCCCGGCCCGGGAUAGCCCAGGGAAACCUGGAUUAAUACCGGAUGAGACGGGACCCGCGAUGGCGGGACCCGGGAAAGGCGCUGCGGCGCCGCCGGGGGAUGAGUCUGCGUCCCAUUAGCUAGACGGCGGGGUAACGGCCCACCGUGGCGACGAUGGGUAGCCGGCCUGAGAGGGUGGACGGCCACAUUGGAACUGAGACACGGUCCAGACUCCUACGGGAGGCAGCAGCUAAGAAUCUUCCGCAAUGGGCGAAAGCCUGACGGAGCGACGCCCGCGUGAACGAAGAAGGCCGUGAGGUUGUAAAGUUCUUUUCGGGAGGGGGAACAACCGUGGCAGGGAAUGGCCGCGGGAUGACGUGAAUCCCGGAAUAAGCCCCGGCUAACUACGUGCCAGCCGCUGC